This is a long non-coding RNA of Vigna angularis (adzuki bean), 920 nucleotides long. RefSeq lists it as uncharacterized. The transcript has 4 exons. The record is from RefSeq and is a predicted model, not a curated record. Lineage: Eukaryota; Viridiplantae; Streptophyta; Magnoliopsida; Fabales; Fabaceae.
CCCUCUCCCUCUCUCGUUCACAAGCAUAUCAAUGCUCUCAAUUCUUUGCCUUCUCAAUUUUUUUUUGCCAAAAUUUUUCAUUUGUUCUGUUGUGUUCUACUUGCCUAGAGGAAGCAUUGGUAAAAGAAAAGAUAUGGGCUCUGAUAUCACAAAAUGAAUCUUCGGUUGUGCCAAUUUCUGUGGCUUCAAAGCUAUCAAUUGAGGAUAGCAUGGCAUGUGUUGAUCUUCUUGAAGUGCUUCUUGUGGAACAUUUACAACAGUAAAUUUUAUUAUAAAUGUCAAAAAGUUGUCUACAGUUUAUGUCUUUAUUGUGUUUUGUUUUCUUCAUCCUACAGUACAUUAUCCAACUUCUCUGUCAAAUUGUUGUUACAGUUACUGGUUUUUUUAUAUGUCAUCCGAGGUGGGAUAUUCGAAGAAUGACAUAUAAUGUUACUAGGAAGAUUAUCACGUCUGCUCCUAAGUUAUCUGAAGAUCUAUUCUUGGAAUUUUCAAAGUACCUUUCUUUGAUUGGAGAAAAAAAUUUAGCCUUAAAAAUAAGUGAUAUUGAUAUUUCUUUGAACCCUCAAGUUUCGUCUGUUCCAUCUGUUGAGGUGUUGGUUAAGCUCUGCUUAUGAUGUCACCACUCUGAAACAUGCUCCAGAUUCAUUUGUCAGAAUAUUACUUUGCUCAUGUCAUCCAUGUGUAGUUGGUAGUGCAAAAAGAGAUGUGGUGUGGAAGGUAGCUUUUCUUCAUACUUGUGUGUUGUCUUAUAUAAUUUGCACUUAAUUAGUUUAUUUUUUGCCAAUUGGUCUAUCUCUCUUUCAAAUUAUUGUUAAUCCAUUAUUACUUGAAUUUUGAUAACCAAAUAAAAGGGAAAAGUGCAUGGAUAUGUAUUAUUGUUAUAAUUAUAGAAAAAAAGAAGCUGAACCUAUAUAUUAUAU